RNAcentral lists this ribosomal RNA (187 nucleotides) under uncultured rumen bacterium. RNAcentral describes it as "partial 16S ribosomal RNA". It matches the Rfam family "Bacterial small subunit ribosomal RNA", at positions 340 to 524 of the family's 1533-position model. The record is from RNAcentral.
UACGGGAGGCAGCAGUGAGGAAUAUUGGUCAAUGGGCGAGAGCCUGAACCAGCCAAGUAGCGUGCAGGAUGACGGCCCUAUGGGUUGUAAACUGCUUUUAUACAGGGAUAAAGUAGGGAACGUGUUCCCUUUUGCAGGUACUGUAUGAAUAAGGACCGGCUAAUUCCGUGCCAGCAGCCGCGGUAAU